UAGAAACCAUCUGUUUUCAUUUUUAGGGUGUUACGUAGUUAAUGCCUUGGCUUAGCAGUGGUUACUUGGAAAUAAAGAUGUGUCCUGCUGUGUUGACAGGCCCUUCAUGAGGCAGCACACAUGUCAUUCUUGCUACUGUGUACCUAGCUGCUGAAAUGAAUCCUAUAAAUUAUAUGAAACUAAAAAGAUUUUCUGAUCUUAUAGAGUUGAAGUAUUGAUAACACCAAGGAACUCUAUCACAAUUUGAAAAGAUAAGCAAAAGUUUGAUUUCCAGACACUACAGAAGAAGUAAAAAUGGUAAGUUUGUUUUUGAUCACAGAUACUGUUUCUUCACUCAUGUACAGAGAUGUUUGUAGCCUUUUCCA
RNAcentral lists this long non-coding RNA (365 nucleotides) under Homo sapiens (human). RNAcentral describes it as "long non-coding RNA NONHSAT179447". The record is from RNAcentral. Lineage: Eukaryota; Metazoa; Chordata; Mammalia; Primates; Hominidae.